Mirounga angustirostris (Northern elephant seal) is the source of this 103-nucleotide small nuclear RNA. The record is from RefSeq and is a predicted model, not a curated record. Lineage: Eukaryota; Metazoa; Chordata; Mammalia; Carnivora; Phocidae.
CCGCUUUGGCAGCAUGUAUGCUAAAAUUGCAACAGUACGGAGAAGAUCAGCGUGGCCCCUGCGCAAGGCUGACAUGUAAAUCUGUGAAGCCUUUCAUAUUUAA